Molecule: ribosomal RNA, 253 nt
Filed under: uncultured bacterium
Lineage: Bacteria
Description: partial 16S ribosomal RNA
Rfam family: Bacterial small subunit ribosomal RNA
Source: RNAcentral
UACGUAGGGGGCAAGCGUUAUCCGGAUUUACUGGGUGUAAAGGGAGCGUAGACGGCAUUGCAAGUCCGGAGUGAAAGCCCACGGCCCAACCGUGGGACUGCUCUGGAAACUGUAGAGCUGGAGUGCGGGAGGGGCAGGCGGAAUUCCUAGUGUAGCGGUGAAAUGCGUAGAUAUUAGGAGGAACACCGGUGGCGAAGGCGGCCUGCUGGACCGUAACUGACGUUGAGGCUCGAAAGCGUGGGGAGCAAACAGG